UGCUGAAACAUCGGAUCGGAUUUCGGAUCUGCGAUCGGCGUGUGCGCCAGCCGGUCCGAUUUCGAAUUCGCCGUCAUAUGCGACUGUUUGAUCUGACUGGCGAACGAAGAAACAAAUUCACGGUUCAAGAACUUCUCGACCCGCAUCACCGGGGUCGGAAACAAUCCAAUGAUCUGGCUCACAAUCCUGACUCACACAACUUGGCUCACCGCGCAGACAGCGCAAAGGCAAAGCCGUUUGACUUGCCUUGCCACGGGAAGG
This 261-nucleotide unclassified non-coding RNA is filed under the name Hevea brasiliensis (rubber tree). The record is from RNAcentral. Lineage: Eukaryota; Viridiplantae; Streptophyta; Magnoliopsida; Malpighiales; Euphorbiaceae.